This is a long non-coding RNA of Monopterus albus (swamp eel), 388 nucleotides long. RefSeq lists it as uncharacterized. The record is from RefSeq and is a predicted model, not a curated record. NCBI's taxonomy places the organism in Eukaryota, Metazoa, Chordata, Actinopteri, Synbranchiformes, Synbranchidae. The transcript has 3 exons.
ACUCAUUCCAGUCACCUACCUCGCAGUGCACUGACAGGGGGAAAAUUAGGCCAGAGAGGUGAAGUGGCUUCAGAGGAGCUUUAAAACAACGCAUGCUGGGCCACUUUUUGCUCCAGAGGUGACAACAAGCUCCUGGCUCCUCUGAGAAAAGCUGUACCAUAGCGACACAACACCUUAUGGCCAUGCUGACAAGGUCUACUGUAUGUGUGUGCAUGUGAACACACACAGACAACAUACCCACUCUUGGAGGAGCAGCUGCUACAGUCAAUAUGUCUGAAGUUGUAACACAGCUGCAGUAACACAUGAAUAACAGGUGCCAAGGUGCCCUGGCAAAAAAACCCAUAAGGCGUUGAUCUUGCAUCAGCACCACUGUAGUGAUGACACAUUU